Marmota monax (woodchuck) is the source of this 478-nucleotide long non-coding RNA. RefSeq lists it as uncharacterized. The transcript is spliced from 2 exons. Lineage: Eukaryota; Metazoa; Chordata; Mammalia; Rodentia; Sciuridae. The record is from RefSeq and is a predicted model, not a curated record.
GGCAUGGAGCUGGUACAGCUGUCAUCACACCGAAGCCAACUUGAACAUAACUAAAAGCAUCAAGGGAAUUGUGCUGAUGCGUGAAAUUCCAGCUGAAAAAUUCCACUUUUGCAAGAAGCUCUUCAAGUGAGAGGCUUGUUCCAUCAGGCCUGGAAUACCAGCACUGAAUGAUGAAUGAUGACUCUCGAAGGGGCCUCUUAUCAGAAGCCCUGUGGACACCCAGGCCUGCUUGAUGACUAAUCCAUCCAGGACAGCUGGUAUCCCCAUUCUUUUUUUUUUUAAAAAUCUCCUGAUGUGGAGGAUCCAAAAUAUCAUAUCUCUUUUUACCGGUUGAACUCUCAGAGAGUAAGUUUUUUCCUUACUUCAAUUGACAGUUGUUCCCACUUUCUUAUUCCUCUGUGAGCGAGGGGGCUAUUCAUCAGCACUGUCUUAAGAAAAACACUCUUAUAUUUGACAUUAUUAAAAAGUUGUUGUGUAA